UACGACGGGGGCUAGCGUUGUUCGGAAUUACUGGGCGUAAAGAGCGCGCAGGCGGCUGGUCAAGUCCGAUGUGAAAUCUCCCGGCUCAACUGGGAAACUGCAUCGGAAACUGAUCGGCUUGAAGGUGGGAGAGGGUAGUGGAAUUCCCGGUGUAGUGGUGAAAUGCGUAGAUAUCGGGAGGAACACCAGUGGCGAAGGCGACUACCUGGCCCAUUCUUGACGCUGAGGCGCGAAAGCUAGGGGAGCGAACGGG
RNAcentral lists this ribosomal RNA (253 nucleotides) under uncultured bacterium. Its description in RNAcentral is "partial 16S ribosomal RNA". It matches the Rfam family "Bacterial small subunit ribosomal RNA", at positions 524 to 776 of the family's 1533-position model. The record is from RNAcentral.